CCUACGGGAGACAGCAGUGAGGAAUCUUGGUCAAUGGGCUUACGCCUGAACCAGCCAAGUCGCGUGAGGGAAGACUUCCCUAUGUGUUGUACACCUCUUUUGUCAGGGAGCAACGCCGGCUACGUGUAGCCGGACUGCGAGUACCUGAAGAACAAGCAUCGGCAAACUCCCUGCCAGCAGCCGCGGUAAUCCGGGGGCUGCGUGCGUUAUCCGGAUUUAUUGGGUUUAAAGGGUGCGCAGGCGGAAGAUCAAGUCAGCGGUAAAAUUGAGAGGCUAAACCUCUUCGAGCCGUUGAAACUGGUUUUCUUGAGUGAGUGAGAAGUAUGCGGAAUGCGUGGUGUAGCGGUGAAAUGCAUAGAUAUCACGAAGAACACCGAUGGCGAAGGCAGCAUACUGGCGCUCAACUGACGCUCAUGCACGAAAGUGUGGGUAUCGAACAGGAUUAGAUACCCGUGUAGUC
RNAcentral lists this ribosomal RNA (460 nucleotides) under uncultured bacterium. Its description in RNAcentral is "partial 16S ribosomal RNA". It matches the Rfam family "Bacterial small subunit ribosomal RNA", at positions 338 to 795 of the family's 1533-position model. The record is from RNAcentral.